Non-coding RNA from Synergistes sp. 3_1_syn1, 62 nucleotides. The record is from Rfam. Lineage: Bacteria; Thermotogati; Synergistota; Synergistia; Synergistales; Synergistaceae.
GCAUACGAGGGCGAUGGAGUUCGCCCGAAAUUCGUUUUUACGAUGAUGACUCCUGUCCAAAG